GACGAACGCUGGCGGCGUGCUUAACACAUGCAAGUCGAACGGAAAGGCCCUGCUUUUGUGGGGUGCUCGAGUGGCGAACGGGUGAGUAACACGUGAGUAACCUGCCCUUGACUUUGGGAUAACUUCAGGAAACUGGGGCUAAUACCGGAUAGGAGCUCCUGCUGCAUGGUGGGGGUUGGAAAGUUUCGGCGGUUGGGGAUGGACUCGCGGCUUAUCAGCUUGUUGGUGGGGUAGUGGCUUACCAAGGCUUUGACGGGUAGCCGGCCUGAGAGGGUGACCGGCCACAUUGGGACUGAGAUACGGCCCAGACUCCUACGGGGGGCAGCAGUGGGGAAUAUUGCACAAUGGGCGGAAGCCUGAUGCAGCAACGCCGCGUGCGGGAAGACGGCCUUCGGGUUGUAAACCGCUUUCGCCUGUGACGAAGCGUGAGUGACGGUAAUGGGUAAAGAAGCACCGGCUAACUACGUG
This 468-nucleotide ribosomal RNA is filed under the name uncultured bacterium. RNAcentral's name for it is "partial 16S ribosomal RNA". It matches the Rfam family "Bacterial small subunit ribosomal RNA", at positions 28 to 507 of the family's 1533-position model. The record is from RNAcentral.